GAUGAACGCUGGCGGCGUGCCUAAUACAUGCAAGUCGAGCGAACAGACGAGGAGCUUGCUCCUCUGACGUUAGCGGCGGACGGGUGAGUAACACGUGGAUAACCUACCUAUAAGACUGGGAUAACUUCGGGAAACCGGAGCUAAUACCGGAUAAUAUAUUGAACCGCAUGGUUCAAUAGUGAAAGACGGCUUUGCUGUUACUUAUAGAUGGAUUCGCGCCGCAUUAGCUAGUUGGUAAGGUAACGGCCUACCAAGGCAACGAUGCGUAGCCGACCUGAGAGGGUGAUCGGCCACACUGGAACUGAGACACGGUCCAGACUCCUACGGGAGGCAGCAGUAGGGAAUCUUCCGCAAUGGGCGAAAGCCUGACGGAGCAACGCCGCGUGAGUGAUGAAGGUCUUCGGAUCGUAAAACCCUGUUAUUAGGGAAGAACAAAUGUGUCAGUAAAUAUGCACGUCUUGACGGUACCUAAUCAGAAAGCCACGGCUAACUACGUG
This 497-nucleotide ribosomal RNA is filed under the name uncultured bacterium. RNAcentral describes it as "partial 16S ribosomal RNA". It matches the Rfam family "Bacterial small subunit ribosomal RNA", at positions 28 to 507 of the family's 1533-position model. The record is from RNAcentral.